GACGAACGCUGGCGGCGUGCCUAAUACAUGCAAGUAGAACGCACAGUUUAUACCGUAGCUUGCUACACCAUAGACUGUGAGUUGCGAACGGGUGAGCAACGCGUAGGUAACCUGCCUGGUAGCGGGGGAUAACUAUUGGAAACGAUAGCUAAUACCGCAUAAUAUUAAUUAUUGCAUGAUAAUUAAUUGAAAGGUGCAAUUGCACCACUACCAGAUGGACCUGCGUUGUAUUAGCUAGUAGGUGAGGUAACGGCUCACCUAGGCGACGAUACAUAGCCGACCGGAGAGGGUGAUCGGCCACACUGGGACGGAGACACGGCCCAGACUCCUACGGGAGGCAGCAGUAGGGAAUCUGCGGCAAUGGACGAAAGUCUGACCGAGCAACGCCGCGGGAGUGAAGAAGGUUGUCGGAUCGUAAAGCUCUGUUGUAAGAGAAGAACGGGUGUGAGAGUGGAAAGUUCACACUGUGACGGUAUCUUACCAGAAAGAGACGGCUAACUACGUG
RNAcentral lists this ribosomal RNA (505 nucleotides) under uncultured bacterium. RNAcentral's name for it is "partial 16S ribosomal RNA". It matches the Rfam family "Bacterial small subunit ribosomal RNA", at positions 28 to 507 of the family's 1533-position model. The record is from RNAcentral.